Molecule: ribosomal RNA, 420 nt
Filed under: uncultured bacterium
Lineage: Bacteria
Description: bacterial SSU rRNA
Rfam family: Bacterial small subunit ribosomal RNA
Source: RNAcentral
UAAGGAAUAUUGGACAAUGGUCGCAAGACUGAUCCAGCCAUGCCGCGUGCAGGAAGACGGCCCUAUGGGUUGUAAACUGCUUUUGUACCAGAGAAAACCUAUCUACGUGUAGAUAGCUGAUAGUAUGGUAAGAAUAAGCAUCGGCUAACUUCGUGCCAGCAGCCGCGGUAAGACGAAGGAUGCAAGCGUUAUCCGGAUUCAUUGGGUUUAAAGGGUGCGUAGGCGGGCUUGUAAGUCAGUGGUGAAAUCUCUCAGCUUAACUGAGAAACUGCCAUUGAUACUGCAGGCCUAGAGUAUAGAUGACGUUGGCGGAAUAUGACAUGUAGUGGUGAAAUACUUAGAUAUGUCAUAGAACACCGAUUGCGAAGGCAGCUUACUACAUAUAAAUUGACGCUGAGGCACGAAAGCGUGGGAUCAAAC